Long non-coding RNA from Oncorhynchus tshawytscha (Chinook salmon), 1524 nucleotides. NCBI's taxonomy places the organism in Eukaryota, Metazoa, Chordata, Actinopteri, Salmoniformes, Salmonidae. The record is from Ensembl.
CCAGCCAGCCAGACAGAGACAGCCAGCCAGCCAGACAGAGACAGCCAGCCAGCCAGACAGACAGACAGCCAGACAGACAGCCAGACAGCCAGCCAGACAGAGACAGCCAGCCAGACAGACAGCCAGACAGACAGACAGACAGAGUGACUUAACAGUCUCCUCUCUUCAGCUGUUGGUGCUACUCACGACCAAACAAUGAAACACACCAUGACAGCUACUAAAGUUCUGAAAGAUGCUCUGCCUCUGAUUACUGAUCACAGCCCGACUGGAGAUGAUCAAUCACACACACGCGCACGGUUUUUGAGUCAGAUAUAGCAGUGAUGGAAGAAGGAGAAUGUGUUAAUGGGAGAAGAGGAUGCGUUAGAGGAGAAGAUGAGAGCAACAGAGAUGAAGACAAGACGACAGCCUGUGACAUGGCCUGUCGACUGGAGGUCAAACGGAGGUGUGUGUGUGUCUGUUUAUGUGUGUGUGUGUGUGUAUAUCCGUACGUCUGUGUGUGUGUGUAUAUCCGUACGUCUGUGUGUGUGUGUGUAUAUCCGUACGUCUGUGCGUGUGUGUAUAUCCGUACGUCUGUGUGUGUGUGUGUAUCCCAACGUCUGUGUGUGUGUGUGUGUGUAUAUCCGUACGUCUGUGUGUGUGUGUGUAUAUCCGUACUUCUGUGUGUGUGUGUGUAUAUCCGUACGUCUGUGUGUGUGUGUAUAUCCGUAUGUCUGUGUGUGUGUGCAUAUCCGUAUGUCUGUGUGUGUGUGCAUAUCCCAACGUCUGUGUGUGUGUGUAUCCAUACGUCUGUGUGUGUGUGUGCAUAUCCCAACGUCUGUGUGUGUGUGUAUCCAUACGUCUGUGUGUGUGUGUGUAUAUCCGUACGUCUGUGUGUGUGUGUAUAUCCGUACUUCUGUGUGUGUGUGUGUGUAUAUCCGUACGUCUGUGUGUGUGUGUAUAUCCGUACUUCUGUGUGUGUGUGUGUGUAUAUCCCAACGUCUGUGUGUGUGUGUAUAUCCGUACGUCUGUGUGUGUGUGUGUGUAUAUCCGUACGUCUGUGUGUGUGUGUGUAUAUCCGUACUUCUGUGUGUGUGUGUGUGUAUAUCCGUCUGUCUGUGUGUGUGUCUGUGUGUGUGUGCAUAUCCCAACGUCUGUGAGUGUGUGUGUGUAUCCGUACGUCUGUGUGUGUGUGUAUAUCCCAACGUCUGUGUGUGUGUGUGUAUAUCCGUACGUCUGUGUGUGUGUGUAUAUCCGUACUUCUGUGUGUGUGUGUGUAUAUCCGUACGUCUGUGUGUGUGUGUAUAUCCCAACGUCUGUGUGUGUGUGUAUAUCCGUACGUCUGUGUGUGUGUGUGUGUAUAUCCGUACAUCUGUGUGUGUGUAUAUACGUACGUCUGUGUGUGUGUGUGUGUGUGUAUGUGUGUAUAUCCGUGUGUCUGUGUGUGUGUGUAUGUGUGUGUGUGUGUGUGUGUGUGUGUGUGUGUGUGUGUGUGUGUGUGUGUGUGUGUGUGUGUGUGUGUGUGUGUGUGUGUGUGUGUGUGUGUGU